UACGGAGGGGGCUAGCGUUGUUCGGAAUUACUGGGCGUAAAGCGCACGUAGGCGGCUUUGUAAGUCAGAGGUGAAAUCCCGGGGCUCAACUCCGGAACUGCCUUUGAGACUGCAUCGCUUGAAUCCAGGAGAGGUGAGUGGAAUUCCGAGUGUAGAGGUGAAAUUCGUAGAUAUUCGGAAGAACACCAGUGGCGAAGGCAGCUGCCUGGCCUGACACUGACGCUGAGGUGCGAAAGCGUGGGGAGCGAACGGG
RNAcentral lists this ribosomal RNA (253 nucleotides) under uncultured bacterium. RNAcentral describes it as "partial 16S ribosomal RNA". It matches the Rfam family "Bacterial small subunit ribosomal RNA", at positions 524 to 776 of the family's 1533-position model. The record is from RNAcentral.